GUGUACUUCAUAUCACCUACAGGAGUCAUAUUAAAUAUCUUCCAAUCCUUAAGCACCUGAUGGCCAAAACUGGAAAUAAACACAGAGGGACAUGUGACCUCCAUCUUCAAGUUUGAAGAGUAAGCCAAGCAAGAAACCAGCAUGAAGCAGGCAGCAGGAUGCUUUACUGUACUGUCGAUGUACUGACGAGGCUGCUAAUUGAGGAAUUGAAGUUCUUCUCCAUAACGGGUACUGCUCUGACUGGCUCUGGGUUCGACUCCAGUGAGGGAUCAUUUUCCGGGGAUAAAGUUGACCUCAGCACCAUCUAGUGUCGGGUUGUCAUGGAGGUGAUCAUGAAUGUUACCGGGCUUAUGGAAUGCGAUACCCGCCAAGUUUUGGUACAUAGGAACCAACAGUUUAAAGGAAUCUUCUGCUUCCAUGUUCAAGGAGAUUUUCAGGCAUGGCAGAGACAAACAGCUACUUCCAUAAAGUCGGAAAUCGAGAGAUUUUAAGCAGAUGAAAGAAAGGAAGGCAUUUUGAUGACAUUGAUGACAACAGGAGUAAUACAACGAGAGCUCUAAAGGCCAUUCCACAAAACCUGUUCCAAAAUUGUGUUGAGGGGUGGACUAGGCGCUGGCAUCGGCGCAUAGCUUCCCAAUUUUUCCUACUGCCGACGUAUGCAUUUCAAAGCAUAAUUACACACCGAGAGGCAGUGUACAAGUAUUUCCUGUGAGGUAUGAACUCAACUAACUAACAACAUGGA
Long non-coding RNA from Cryptotermes secundus, 742 nucleotides. RefSeq lists it as uncharacterized. Lineage: Eukaryota; Metazoa; Arthropoda; Insecta; Blattodea; Kalotermitidae. The transcript is spliced from 7 exons. The record is from RefSeq and is a predicted model, not a curated record.